UCAGAAUCUACCUGUAAUGCUAGUUCCUUUCCUUCUACGCAAGGUGUUCAAAGGUAUCAAAGGCCAUUACAUGAACAGAAGAGCAAUUUGGUGGCAACCCGUGCCAUGAAAAAUCCGAGAAAUUUGGGAUCUUAUGAAAAUAAUUUAUCAUCUUCUUUCAUGGCACAGGUAAAUGUUACAGAUCAGCCAGUGGUUGAUGAAAGGACCAACAUACCAAGGUUUUUACAGUUGGUUGAGAGGCUAAAGGGCAGCAUUUGAAUUGGAGAAAACAUUUUAGGGGCAACAGUUAAGAGGGAGGAGAAACUGAAAUUACAAAAAAUGGGACGGAAACCUAAUGGCAGUGGAAGUUCUUUCAAAGAACAGAGAGCAUAAAAUGUGACAUGGGUGGUUAGUUCUUUAUGUUGUGUAUGACUUAUUUGCAAUGUGCUAAGGUUAUAAAUUUCCUUUUUGAGGUUGACUCUGAUGAGCAUCAAUCAUCCCCAUGUUUGGUGACCGUGUCGUUAUACUGAAGAUUCUCUGGUUAACUACUUGGCUAAAGCAAUUAGGUUUUGUAAUAUGAAGGAGAUGGAAAUAUGGGC
Molecule: long non-coding RNA, 578 nt
Filed under: Amborella trichopoda
Lineage: Eukaryota; Viridiplantae; Streptophyta; Magnoliopsida; Amborellales; Amborellaceae
Description: long non-coding RNA (ATRI_LNC005001)
Source: RNAcentral